RNAcentral lists this ribosomal RNA (509 nucleotides) under Medetera saxatilis. Its description in RNAcentral is "partial 16S ribosomal RNA". It matches the Rfam family "Bacterial large subunit ribosomal RNA", at positions 1829 to 2597 of the family's 2925-position model. The record is from RNAcentral. Lineage: Eukaryota; Metazoa; Arthropoda; Insecta; Diptera; Dolichopodidae.
GUCUUUUUGAGUUUAGUUUAAAGUCUGAUCUGCCCACUGAUUAAUUAAAUGGCCGCAGUAUAUUAACUGUGCAAAGGUAGCAUAAUCAUUAGUUUUUUAAUUGAAGACUUGUAUGAAUGAUUGGACGAGAUAUAGGCUGUUUCAUAAAAAUAUAUAGAAUUUUAUUUUUUAGUUAAAAAGCUAAAAUUUUAUUAAAAGACGAGAAGACCCUAUAGAUCUUUAUAAUAAAAAAAUUAUUAGCUAGUAGGAUUAAUUUUGUAAUAAUUUUUUUAUUAUUUUAUUGGGGUGAUAUUGAAAUUUGAGAAACUUUUGAUUAAAGUUUAUUCCAUUAAUUUAUGAUUAAAUGAUCCAUUUUUAGUGAUUAAAAAUUUAAGUUACCUUAGGGAUAACAGCGUAAUUAUUUUGGAGAGUUCUUAUCGAUAAAAUAGUUUGCGACCUCGAUGUUGGAUUAAGAUUAAUUCUAGGCGUAGUAGUUUAGGGUAUUAAGUCUGUUCGACUUUUAAUUUCUU